Molecule: long non-coding RNA, 13778 nt
Organism: Cygnus olor (mute swan)
Lineage: Eukaryota; Metazoa; Chordata; Aves; Anseriformes; Anatidae
Exons: 4
Source: RefSeq, a predicted model, not a curated record
GUGCCUCUUGAUCUGAACUGGUUUGGUUCUCUCACCAAGUGCAGGUGACACAGCUGUGACAACGCCAAUUCUGGGCUUUUCAUCUCUUUUUGAGGCUUGGUAUGCCUGUCCUGCAGUGGUGUAUCAGUAGGAUGGUCAGCAAAACCUGAAUGCCAGCCAUGGCAACUCUGCUUGCCUCAAACUUAAUUGUGACAAUUUGGGCAGGAAUGAGGUGUGAGUGGCUGCUUCGAAUCUGACUGCAGAUGUUGGUGAGGGAAGCUGAUAGAAAGCCUCAACAUUGAUCUGUAUUCAUAGGUGAAGCUCAUGCAGUCCUUGCUGGAUUGGCUUCUCGUUGAUCCUACCCAAGUUCUGCUGGGACCUGAGCAUUGCACUGGGUGGGGUUGGCUGGGCGGGCUGCUUAUCUGCUGCUCUGUGAUCUGUUUUACAGCAGUGUCAACCUUGGGUCUCUCUUCUUAGGAAUAUGAAACUCAAAACAGUUCCGCUGUGCCAGAACAAUCAAAGAGCGUCCUACAAGCAGGAGGGGAGGAAGUUCUCUCCAGAUUUCUGUUUUCAAGACGUGCAAGGCAAACAAGGACAGAAUGAGUCAGUGUGGGUGGGUCUGGGGUACACAACACCUGCAGCUGGGGACUGGGCUUUGGUGCAGGUGUGUUGCACCAGAUUUCAUGGUGAAAAGUUCAUCCAGCUCUGCAGGCCAGUCACUCACCUCCUGAUGUCCUCCCGAAUGUGUGCACCCAGACUGCUGCCCUGCAUGUAAUACAGUAAUGUUAUAUGUGGUAGGAAAUGUAUUUUUUUUUAACUGUAGUGGAAAAAAAUAGCAAAUGCGUAGCCUUGAUGAUACAUGUUAACAAGGAAGUGGCAUAGCAAGAAGUUAGCUAUUUUUAUCACUGUUUGCCAUAAAAGGGACAAUACAGGAAACAACUUUAAAUUCAAUCCAUUUUUCAGUUCUAUUGCAAAGCUAUUAGUAUUAAACCUAAGCUUGUGUUAUCCCCUGUUCCCUCCUGCCUCCUUCUUGACCAACUCCUGUCACCCAAAGAUUGUGGCUUGUUCACAUCCACUGUGAGAGGGUAGAAAGGUUUCCUGUGAGUCAGUGGGUUCUGGAUCAGGCCCUUAAGCUCUCAUGAUGGCCAAGAUUUGGGAGUCUGAAAAGAAAUUAAUUGGUAGCAUGUAGGGAGCAUCUAGCUAUAUUUUUUCCUUUCGUAUUAGUUCAGACGGCACUUACCUAACUUGAUCGUAUGAGUAUUUUUUUUUUUUUAGGAGACUUCAAGAUUUGGCCACAUGAUACAGUUUUGGGAGAAAAUGUGAAUGCACAAAGAGAAAAUGUGAACCACAGCUGAUGGCAAACAGCAUCUUCUAGCCUGCCAUUGAAUUCCCAUGUCACAGCCCUUGUGGUGGGGUGCUGUUAGACCUAAUCUUGUUAUAUGACUGGGGCUUGUUUUCUGUCAGAUUUAAAAUUGGGAGUCCAAAGCUGAUUAGUUUUUCAAGCUAAAGAUGCCUCUAGCCUGGUGCUCUGGAAACAAACAUCUCCACUGUGUGGUGUGGUUAGAAGAUAACAUAGAAAUAUAAAUGAUUUUUUUUUCAGCUGACUGUCCUGAAACCCUGAAGGUUUGUUGCAGUUGGAUCUGUGUCGAGAACAAAAGAGCCUUCAGAGACUGGAAGCUGAUAGGCGGUUUUAUUCUUUUAUUUUUUUAUUUUAACUUGAGAAAUCUAAGUCCAUCAAACUGCAUGCUUCUAUUCAGUUUCUAAAGUUAAUUGUGAGUGCGUAGCACCUUGGGAAUCUUUCAGAAUAGGUCGGUAGGAGAUCUCUAGAGAUGGGCCAUGUCCUACUUCUACGUGGCAAAGAAGUCAUGCACAGAGUGCCUGCUGUUCACUCGUAGAAUUGGAGGUUUCAUUUUGGCGAAGGCCACAGCAGUACCCUGCUCCUAUUAGACUCAUGCGAACAGCUUUGAGCGUGAAUGUGUUUGGUGUGUAGAUGUGAUGCAGGUACUGCUCACUCAGGUGAUUGUUUGUCUCCUAUCCAAAGCGUGUGUGCCGUGAGCUGCAGCUCACCUUUCCCAUUGCCCUGUGGUCACUUCCUAUUCACAUUUUGUUUGGGGCAAAACCGGGGAAGGACCAGUCCAGCGUGGCUGCAGUCGUGUGAGGGUGGCACGACUCUGGGCAGGCAGCAGCCAGUGAGCACUCUGCAUUUCCCAGUCCCUGCAGUCCCCAGGGACUCCUGUAAGGCUGGUGGACACGGUGUAUGUUACAAUUCUCCUUAGAUCAGCAGUUUCCCCAAAGCUGGACACAGUGGCCUAAUUCCAUCAUCACUCGUUAUCCUUCCCACGUUUUAAGCAGCUGGUUUCUGUAGGUCUGCGUUUGGAAUUUCCCUAGGUUAAGCCAUAUGAAAAUGCUUUGUUCAGUAAUCUUCCAGCACAAGCAAAAAAGCAUCUUUGGAAAAGAUGAUACAGAAACUAAUAACAGCUGAGCUGAUGCCAUCACCUGAGGUCACACUGCUUUUUGCAAAGUGUGCUUUGCUAGCAUACCCCACUGUGCCCAGCUGCAGCUGUGUGGUCACAAGGGAGCUGAAUAAAUAAAUAAAUAAAUACAGGAAAGUUCCAAAACUGGGCCUGUGAAACCGUCUGCUGCAGAACCACCAUUAACUCAAUCGCUGAAUUCAAAAGCAGCUGGGAAUGCCUGAGUGUCUACUUCUGAGGUUUCUGGUUGCGAUAAGGUUGCAUUUCAACGCUCUUCUGUGGAUCAGCAAAAACUGGAAGCUUUUCACUUUUUGUUUCCAAGGUGAGCUGAGGCUGCAGGGACAUUGCUACAACACCAUGUAUCGCAGUACUUCGGUGGGCAUCGGCCGUGGGCGAUAGCAGUGUGACCACUGCACCAGCGCCUCCUCGGGAGUCACUUUGAGCUUGCUCCCUCGAAGCGUACUCUGCACAGUCCCACGCCACUGCUUGCUUAACUUCGAGUUAAAAAUUUGCUCUCUGUUUACCUAAUAACGUACCUCUUGGUUGAAGUGUGAAGCCCCUGAUGUGGAGGUUUCCAGGACCCCAGCUGAGCUGGGUGGCUUUACCAGCAGCUCUUCCUUUGAAGUUGGAAGGUGUGUGCUCCACCAAUGGCAGGCUUUGGCUUAUGUUUGCUUGUCAAACAGUAAGAACAAAAAAUAAAAAAUUAACGAGCAUCCUGGAAACUAACCAGGAAAUGGUGUUUUCUGUGAGAAUGGGAGAGCUGUAAAAUAAGUUUCAGGAAAUUAUAUUCAAAUAAGUAAGUAAGUAAGUAAAGAGCAUCAGUCAGAUACCUAAUGGCCAAAGUGCCUGCUGUGCCAGCUUGGAACUCCAAGUCCUGGUUGGUGGUCAUGAGUGUCCCAGGUUGGUGCAAUUUUGCUGCAAUAUAAAUAUUUUAAAGCCAUUUUACUGAACUGAAUACACUUCAGAAAUCCUGUAGUGCUACAGGAGUUGUUUCCACUUACAAACCUGAGUAACCCUGUGCCCAGUGUGUAAACCUGAGAGGUUCCUCUCGUGUGACAGAUGUGAGGACGCAGUGCUCCAACAGGAGACUGCAAGAAGCGAUUUUGUGCUGCUUUGCUAGCGUGAUUCUCACUUAUCAGACUUACAGCAUUCAGCAUGAUUUAAGAAGUUUGUUCCUGCUCUGCAGGGACUCUGCUGGCGUUUAUUGCCGUAUGCUAUAUGCUUGCACAAGGGGAAGAAGCAGAAAGCUGCACGGUGCUGCACUGGUGCUUAUAGCAGAGAGGGGAGCUGCUGCCUCUGGGGGUAACUUUAUAGGGCUCUGCUCUUGUGUGCUCUUCCCACAGCACACACUUUCCUGUAAUAGUGCAGUAUGUGAGCAGAUUGCAUGCUGUAUUGUGCUGCUGCUGUUUGUAAGUCUGAUGCAUGUGUAUAUUUUAAUUUGAAGUCUGAGAAAGCUCAUCAUUUUUUAUUGAUAAUAGAUCAGAGUAUGUUGUCAAUGCAUAAGAAUUUAUAGUUUUGCUGGUUUAUGGUUUAUGUAGUCUCUCUUGUCUUUUGGGAGGUGAUGGAGUCUCCAGGUACUUUCCUCAUACCUGUGGAUUCAGAACUUCUACCAGCACAGCAAUAUCCCCUCUGAGGAUGGGGUGCAGACUGUGGCUUGAACACUGGAAAUGUUUGUAUGCGCUUAAAAAUAUAGCGGCCUGUACCCGUGCAGCAGGGGCUCUCAGGGCAGGGGCUUCCUCUUGCAGGAGAUGAGAUAGGUAUGGGGCCAGGAGCCUGCUGUUCCUGUCUGCUUGUCAUAAACUGGGGGAAAAAAACACCAUUUUUUUAUUCAUCUCAGCCAUUUAAAUAUGUGCAUGUGGCUGUCCCCCUCUUGCACAUUUCUUUUUUCUAAUUGUAAUUUUCUGGCAUGCUUUCUUCCUGGAAGCUGGAGCUAUUAUCAUUUAUUCUCUCAGGACUCAACGCCUCUGUUGAUCUCUGAGUCACUUUCCCAAUUACAAAUCAAUUUAUCCAGUAUUGCUGCUUGCUGCUAUGAGCAGUAAGGAGAAACACUCCUCUAUCGGACUGAAAUUUCCCGAAGGGAAGGAGAGACAUGGACGUGGUGUGUCUUUGGGCUGUGACUUCUUGUACAGAGCUGCCAGACUUGUGUAUUUAUUGAAACAUGCUGGAUGUUUCAAAAGGCAUCUGGGGGAAGUGCUGUGGCUCAUUUACCACAGGUAACUCUGCAGUGGGAGGGUGCCAAACCCUCAGGGUUGGGGUGUUUUGGUGUGCAUCUUUUCCCCUCGCCUACCCCAGACUCCUGGCACACCAGCUUUCACGCUGGCCCCGGUUCUGGCUCUGCAGGCACGGGGUCAGCCUGCUCAGGAGAAGGUCAGAGCUGCCCGACAGGUCCAGAGCUCAACUACAAACCCGCAAAAGAAAUGGCUUGCUAUCUGGGUAGCCUGAGAUUGCUCUUUCUGGUUAUUGAAAAAUGCAGGUAGUUAUCUGUUUGUUAUUCAGAACAGGAAAUGCUGUUAAAAGUAUUCUUAAAAAGUGUUUUCACCACCAUGAAAUCUGCAGCAGCUGUGUCCCAGCCCUUGCACCGAAUACACUGGUGUGGAUCCCUGGUGCGGCAGCUGAGUCUGUUGUCCUUUAAACACCUGCAGGGAAAUCACACAUCUGAAAAACGGGGAAAUGGUAUUUGCUUUGGGGUUGCUUGCCAACGCGGAGAAAUGUUGUGAGUCAGUAUGUCAAUAUCUAAAGGGCAUCAGAAUGUGAACUGGCCGUGCCACCGGGUUUUCAGGGAAGAGGCCAAAGCAGGAACCUCUUCCAAGCUGCCGGAGCUGCAGCGAGGACAGCCCUGGAAAGGAGCAGGGGGAUGGCAGGUCACCCCAAAGCAGAGCUGACAUCUGACCCAUGGAGCUGUUGCUUCAAAGCUGGCUGUUUAGGAAUUUGCAGUGUCGCUUGCCUGGAUCUCAUGCUGAUCCCGUAAAUAAACCUCUGCCUUGAUGGAUGGCCAGUAGUUGGUUCUGCCUUGAAGCCGAAAGGGUCAGACCCAAGCCCCUUGUUUGGGGGAUCAGGUCCCUUCAUUGGGUUGCCACCGUUCAAGAGGCGGCAGCCCUAUGACCCGCGGGGGUUUCUGUAACCAGCUCCCUCCCCGGUGCCUCCCAGCAGGGCUGGCUGGAUUUUUGUGCCCCGUGCUGUGAUUACCUCACCUUUAUCUGGAAGCGAGUUUGGAGAAGUACAGGUAAAAUAAACACCAUGUCUCUCUUCUUGGAAACACGGAUGUCUGUCUGGCAGAGAUGUCUGCAACCUUCCAGGUUAAUGAGCAGCUCUGGUGUGGCGCAGGGCGGCAUCGCUCCUCCAGCCUGGCACCAGAGGGAAGCUCGAUGCGUGGAGGCCUCCCCAGCGAGGGAGGCACCACAGCCUGCAUGGCGAUGAGCAGCCGUGAUACAGAUGCCCACCUUAGGAAGCAUCUUUUCAAAAGAUUGAAUGAAGCUCCUAUUUUUGCUUUGAUUAUUCUUCUGUUGUUCCACAAGAUAUUUUUAUUCCAUCGUAUUCUGUGUUUUUUCUUUUGCAAAGUGAAUUUAUUUUGUGAUAAAGUGCCAUGCUGCGUUAAAUAAUUCUGGUAAUCAAGAAAUCUUUGUUUCGUCCUCCUAGCUGCAUGCUCUCAAGGGUUCGCAUAUCUUCCUCAGAGCUUGUAUAUGUUAUGGUACUCCUUUGAUACAUAUCUUACAUCUGAUAGAAUAGCUAGCUAGUUGUAAUUUUUUUUUCUUUUACUGUAUUUGUAAAUCCAGCUAUCAGAUGUGACGAUGGGCUAAUGUGGGCAGGCUUGCCCUUUUUCAUACCUUGCAGCAGAAGAAUCAGGACUUUAAUUUCAUAUAGGCAGAGGUGGUAGACUUAAAGUUGAUCAUAUGGAAAGAUUUUUCCACAAAGAACGAGCAGGACUGAACAAAAAGCUGGCAAAUGCUGUGGAUACCAAGAGUUCCACCCGGAAUGAGUGGGCAGGCUUGGGGCAGUCUGUGCAGACCUUCUCCUUCCACCUUCAAAGCCCAAGCCCAACAGUACAUUUUAGAGUAAGCUUUGAUAAAUAAAUCUUCCCUAUUUUCCCCUUCAGGAAGGGUCAAUCAAGUGAGUCAAUAUUUACCAUCAACAUGUUACAUAGUAGAUUAACCUUAUGGGUUUAUUCCGGUAUUUAAACUGUGUAUUUGUCGAUACCUGGAUUAAACAGCCCAAGCAAUGGGGUUUAUCUGAGUAUGCCACAGUUGAUUCUGGCAAGUAGAGUGGAUUUGGCUUGUGACUGCUUUAACACAGCAGUUCUACUCCUCGUUUUGUUUGUGUUCUAAAGAGAGUUGUUCCUACCAGGUUGAAGGAAAUCAACAAUUCUGACACGUUGGUUAAUCAAAUGAUUGUUAACACCCAGGGGACUUUCCUAGUAGCAGUCGAGCGCUGUUUAUAUUUUAAUAAUCACUGUGGUUGUUAACAAGGGUAAAGAAAAUGGAGUCCUUCAGCAAGCGUUGUCCGUUGUCACCAUGCUCCAAGUAAGCAUUGAUGAAAUUUAUUAUUUCCAUGCUUUUCCUGGUGGUCCAUAGACAGCCACCUGCAGCCACCAUUAAUUUUCCCUUAAGCACUGCUCAUGUGGAGGUGUUGCAAACACUUAAGACCUUGUUCUCAAAGAUGGUAUGAGGAGAAAAGCAUUAAGACUUUUUCCCUUCCUGCCUUUGAGCCUGGGAUGCGUUUCCAUGGUGUCUGAAAUCCUGCUGUAAGAGUUUGUGCCAGUCUGAAGUAUAAUGAAACUGCUUCUUAGCUGCCCCCUGGGGUGUUUGGGUGGAGCUUUAACAGCAGCCCCGAAGACUUCAAUAGCACUGGGGAUGAUUUUACCAACUCGUGAACAAACAUGGGCUUAUAUAGUAAGUCAUAAAAGCCUCUUAGACACAUGGUUGUUCUCUUGUAAGGAAUAACUAAAACCUCAAUUUUGAAAGAAAAGAAAAUCAUACCACCCCUCAUCUCUAUUUAUGCUAAAAAUAAACAUAUUGUUACGAGAUACUCUCUUCUUUUGGGAUUGAAAAGAAAAGAUCUUGUCAAUUACCAUAUUUGAGUGAGUUCUCUUGUUUUUUUUCCCAUUUUCCUCCACCUCGUUUGUAUUUCAGUUGUCAGAUGGCCAUUUCAAGGUAAAAAAAGAAAAGAUAUUUUUUUUAAUAGAAGACAUGACUAGAAAGUACUUGUUGUUCCUUUAUCAUGCACAAAGACAUUGCUUGGGCCCUGGUGCACCAUCCCUGCGCAGAGCUGGCACCCUGCUGCAGCCCACCCCCGGGCAGGCUGAGAGCGGCUGCAAGGGGUUGCUGGAGGUCUGCCUGACCAUGCAAAAGCCCUGGGGAACCUUCUUCUGAGACAUUUGAGACCUCGGUGUUUUUCGUGCUAAUUUUAAACUCGGAGAUGUUUCUCAUGGAAUAUUUAUAGACUCGCUGGCUCUUAAAAGGCCCAGAGGGCCCCCUCUGUAGAGCAGGCCAGAGAACUUCACCCGGGGAGACUGGCCAGGACAGCAAAUCUUUAUUUUUUUCCUACUCACGUGCAGGAUCCAGCCUCCCUAGUUAGCUGCACAAACUUACUGCAGCUUCCUACCUGGGUGCGUUUGGAUGGACCAUGCUGAUGCUAAGGGAGCAGCUGGGUAGUGUUCAGGAGGAGCUGCGUACAUGUGCAGGACAGGGACCAGAGACGCUCCAGGCAGUCCUGUCAUUGCAGGAGACCUUACACAGCGAUACCCUAAUUUUCUGACUGUAUUUGAGUUAUGUAUAUGUGCGAGGUGGGAUCUUUCCUCUGUGCAAGAGUCGCCCCAGUCUGAUGUGAAUAAAUUACUGCACUCAGGCAGUUUCCCAAAGCAAGGGCAGGUAAUUAUUCAUGGGGUCGACUUGAGUUGUUCUGAAAGGACCACAACAGAUGUGCUUAAAAACAAAAAAAACAAGCAAAACCAAAUGCAGAGUGGGGUUGAAGGAAGGGUGAGGAUGUACCAGGAGGAGGACUACCCUCAGAGGAGAAGGGUUCGUGACAGAAGUGUAUUUGUUUCAGGCUGGAGGCCACAGCCACUCGACUGUCACUUCAGCCUGUCGCACCUCCUCGUUCCCUAAUUGCACCAGUGGUGUGAACAGACCUUAAACUGGUGUAGGAAAGCCAUCAGUCUUUGUACAGCCAAUGUGGCAUACAGGCAUGGCAGAACCAGCCGUGGGGUUUAAGUAUUAGAAAUACUUGUUUGGGAGACUUUGUUCUGUUAUCUGUAACUGCUUGAAUAAAUCUGUUUCCUGUGUUUAUGAUAAAACAGGAUUGUGUUCUCUUUGACUUAAACCUCUUGUACCUUGUGUUUUAUACCUUUCUUUUCAUAGCUACUGGAAUUCACGCUUCAUCCACUUCAGGCUGCGUAAGUACAUUGGCAGGCUAUUUGGAGUGAGUGAAAUCAGAUCCUCUGCAUUCAUCCCUCCUGUGUUUCCCUUCAAAGUAUGUUUUUCUUUUUGGCUCACGGUGCCUGUUGUUAGAGCUGUUUGUGGCUGGUACCAAGUGCAUUUUAGUGUAUUUGGAUCACUAGUGUGACAGUUGAACCUGAAUUAGUGGACCUGUUCUCAAUUUCUUUGCCUUCAGAAGCACUUCAGGCUUUUAAAUCUCAUAUUUGGGAGGUAUUUUGCAAGGGCUCAUUAGUUGUGAGUAGCAGGCUUUGAUUUACUGGAUGAAAACAUGGCUAUUGUGUCUAAUGCUGGCUGCUGCGUGGCUGGAAGCACUGGGAAGUCUCUCCCCUUAGCAGCAUCAAACAUGACAUGGCAAAUGCAUUGCCAUCAGGAUGUAGCAGCAGCCAUCCCUCGAGCUCGUUAAGAUCUUUGGCUUCAUUUUCGUCUUUAAGUAUAGCUGUAGCUUAGGGUGCUGAGGGUACGUAGCUGGGCCAAGCUGCCUUGUGCAGAAGCCACCAGCUUCUCAUUGUGGUGCCUCGUUAAAGAGGAGGCUGUUUGGGUCUGGGGCAGCCCCACCAGCUGGGGGAGCCAGGCCUGGGGCAGAGCCCCUCUUCACACCUGUGUGCCUGUGUCAGCAUGUGGGACCAUGCCAAAAAGGUGAACUCGGUUUUAUCUGACCCAUUUCUCAUGAUUCGGGGCCCAGUUAUCAGUUACUGGAUCAGGGCAGGGCUGCUGUCCCAGUGGCCUGUCCCAGUGCUGAAGCUGGAGAUCAGCUUUCAACCAUCCUGGCAUGAAUUUUUCCUUUUAUUUUACUCUCCCAUUCCUGAAAGCACUUCUGGUUGAUGAGAAGAGCAGUUAAGCAGCCUGGGUCAGGAAUUCUGCCAGUCCUGCAUGCAUUUGGGUCAAUGCAAGUCUGGAGAGGCUGUCCUAGUGCAGGUUGUUUAAUUAGGAUGCUAAAAUCCAGGUUGGGUUUAUGCUGCAGAUGUGCACUAUCCUCAUCCCUUAUUUGCAUGUUGGCUGAUGCUGAGAAGGGAGACCUCUGAAGACAACGGGUAGUUGGAACUGCUUGCUAUUAAUUUUCUCUUGUAUUGGUUUAGCUUAACCAUACAUCUGAUUCUUCGAUUUGCGCCCAAAUAUUUAUGCAAAGUCUCUCUCUUGGGACUUUCCAGGGGUUGGUUCUGCAUGCAGUGAAAUGUCUGCUUUAAAGCUAGAUAGCAUUUCCUUGGCACACAAAAAUGGGAUGCAAAACAGUUCCAGGAGCAAAUUUUCAGUCAUUUGGCUAUUUUUCAGACAUUAAGGGUUCUGAAGAGCAGAUAAGAGACGGCUGAAUGCUUGCCUGCUUGUUGCCCAUUCCACAAUACCGCUUGUCACACUGAUAGGGAACACUAAUAGCAAUUUGGGAUUGCGUUCUCAGUAAUUAAACCUGCUUCCAGGAAACCACUGCUGCGUGUUCCUUUAGAAAAGUUACUAAUUGCCAUCUGUUAAGAUAUUCUUUCCCUGAAACAAUGAUGGCAAGCAAUUUGGGGCUGCCUUUCCAGCCCCUCCUGUGAAAGGAGAGCGUGGCGCAGGCACUGAGCGAGCACCCCAGCCCCUAAGCUCCACGUAACUCUUUGCCCCGGAAGAAAACUGGAGCAGUCCCUGGCACCUCAGUGAUGCAGUGAGCCCCUCCAGGCCUCGCAGUCACCUCUGCUCACCUCCUUGUGCACUCUUGGUCGUGGUUUUUCUGCUUUCAGGGUCCUCUGUGGUGUGACCUCCUGCUGGAGCUCAGGUGAGGCUCUUACCAGCUGUCUUUCCGCAGUUGCCUAACAGACAGGAAAUUUCUCCUUACAGCGCAAAAGGCUCUCUUGUCCCCUUAAUUUCGCUUACCCCUUGCCUGGAAGCAUUUACUCAAUGCCAUUGCUGUUUUGUCCAGCCUGUUCUCUGGAUCAGAGAUUUCUGAACAUUAACAGAAGGGGACAGCGGGGUGCUAACACAGGCACAGAAAUCAUUUCAGAAAUACUGUGAAAUGGGAGGAAAACGAAAGCCGCGUCACUUAAUGAGGGAUCCCCUAUAGGUCCCCGUAGCACCAGGCACUGAUGUGUUGGAACUCCGUUGUUGGACUCUCCAACGUGUCCUGUUUGCAGGGCAUGUCCCUGUUCCUGGCCGUGAUGGGGCUUUUCCUCCUGUCCUUGCUCAGCCCCCAGCCCUGCCUCACAAAGCCACCCACCAGGGAUGCUGCAGGAGGAAAACCGCUCAAUUUGGGUACAGCAGCACGGGGUUAUCUCUGAUAGAGGCAUUGCCCUGGGCUGUCGCUCCAGGGGUGCUGCCAGCAGACAUAUUUUCCUGUAAGAGUUUUCCUUGCUGGGACCUGGGCUGGUCCCAGGUUAGCCCGGACACAUCCUGCCAUGGCUUGAGCUAUGCUCCUCGGCACAUCUUGCUGCUGUCCCAGGGGCCACUGGCGGUUGCUCAAAGGGCCAAGAAAACCAUAGUCAAACUAAGCAUGUACCCAAACCUAGUAGUAAAAGUUUGUGGUGGGCUUAAGGGCCAUGUUUGGCAUGGAUAAAUCCAGUUUAACUUGUCUACCUGCUGCAUUGUAAUGCUAUAUGUGAUAAGAAAUGAAUUCAAUGAACACCGGUGGAGAAGAUAACUCCUCCACAGGGUUUGUGUUGUUUCAUGCAGCGAUCCUGAACAAUAACCUGCAGUUUUUAAGCAGCCCCAGCUGAUUUAACUCUGGCUGCAUGUGAUUGAAGUGAUGCAUGAUCGUCUUUGCAGGGCAGAGACCGCAGCCUUCGAAGUCUGCCACGUGCACAGAGGACUAGCCGGACAUCCUCACGUUUCCACAGCAUGACUUGGCCUCGGUUUGUGACAGCUUUCUGUAAGCAAUGCCAGCUCCCACAGUUAGCUGAGGGCUCCCAUCCUUCCCCUGAGUAGUGGGGUCAGCGGGUCGCAGUUACGAGUUUGGAAAGUUUGGAUGGGGCUGGUGCCGCCUGGCGUGGGAGCAGCACUUGUUUUGCUCAGAUGCUUUUCCCCUGCUAGGCAAUGGGAACGUCUCUUUGAUGUUCCCGGCAGUUCCAUGGGAGAACUUGCAUUAAAAAUAAAUAAAGAAAGAAAGAAUGAGGAAAGGAAAGUGUUGCUCAUAUCGCAGUGAAAAAGUCAGGGAAUUCUCCCCGAGGCUGAGUGCGGGCACAGAAGGCAGCACGUCCUCCUCCGAGAUGCACUGCGUCAGCCAGUGAACAGGGCUGGGGGACGGGCCUGCAGAAACGUUGUACUUGCUGGGAAUUUCUCGUGCCCCAGUAAGAACACCCCCAGUUACUGCCAGACCUAAAACAAGACGUUUCUGUGAACAUUUAUAAAAGUUAAUGCUUCUGUUCUAAAUGUUUCCCUAAGUUUAAACCAUCAAAGACAACCUAAAAGUGCUACAAGGUUAAUUCCAAAUAACUCCGUCUCUUCAGGACUUCCAAAAUUAAAAUUAUCAGAGAUGAACAGGCAUGGGGACUGCACCAGGAGAAGCAGCAAACAUUGCUCCUCGCAUGAGCAAGGCAGCACAGAGCUACAGGUGGUAUUGGAGCCCCAAAGUGCCAGCUUUUGAUCAGUGUUUUGCCAUCUCUGAAAUGACCGUUUUUUUCCCCCAAAUUCUGUUCUUUGCAGAAUUUUGAUACUUGAACUUUGCUGGUCCGGAGCAGACAUUGCAAUGUGUGACUUCCCUGUGCAAGGGGAGCUCUGGGUUUUGCUGAGCCCUGUUUUUCAAGACGAGCCUGAAGCAGGAUUGCCCAGUGCGCAGAGGUGGGACGGGGGAGCUGCUGCAGGACAGGCAGCCUGCUGCAGGGCUCCAGCUGGCUCUGUGCUGCGGAAAUCAACUCGAUCUGGAACAAGGAGCCCUUCGGCUCCUAUGUGUGUUAUGCCACACACAAACACUGAUCCCUUUUGUCUCCCCCAGGCUUCAUAUUUCACUACGUUUGGAGAAAUGGCCCUUUUACAGGUUGUCAUGCAAGCCCUUCUACACAGUGCCCCAGGAAGCACCAAAAAUGCUUACGGGAAGCUUUGUGGGGAAGCCAGCAGGAGUAUUUGUGUGCUGAGUCACCUUGAGACUAAUUAAAAACUGUUCGAAAAGCAGCACAUGGCUGUAAUUGCCCACCGAGGGAAUUCUAAUACCAAGUACUUCAUAAGCAUCCUGUGAAUGUGCACAUUCAAUCUUUUAUGACACUUGUCUGUGAGUUGAAAGAAAAAAGUGUUAUUUGCCACAAGGCAAAUAAAGUUGUUAAUCACAAUAUUUCCGUCAGUGGGAGGUGAAUAUUUUGCUCAGACACCCACAGGCAUCGGUAGCUCAGAUUUAUGCGCGGAUGUCUCGGAGAGAGAGCUCACGUUUAUCUUUUGCUAUUGUAUUUCAUGCAGGUGAUUUUGUAUGAUAUUUUCCUAGUGUUCAGAUCAUAUUUUGUUUUUAAUUUGCCACAAGUUGGUGUAAGAUUUUACAGGAUGAUCAGGCUGUGUGGUGGAGCAGAAGCAGCUGGAUUGGGUCAAGGGCUGUGGCGCGUAUCUGUGGGAUGCUAAAGGAGGGAGAAGAGUGGCGUUUUGCAUCGUUAAGAUCAGAGAAGACAGACAAACCUGUAUUGCGUAAUACUCUUUUAAAGUAUUUCCUCCCUUCCUAAAAAACACCUUGCACUUUUCAAACUGAUACUGCCAGAGAAUGGCUUCACAGAUGCUGGAGAUCCAUCAUAUCACCUGCGGCAUCCCCAUGUUCACUCCUUGCCCAAGCGGAGGCUCCAGAGUGAAUGUUUUUGGGUCAGGCAGGCCUGUAAGACGAAGAACUAAUAGGCGAGAGGGUGUUCUCUACUGGCGACUGCUGGUGAGAGGCGACUUUACAUCUGACCUGCUGACGUGGGGGGAUUUACACCCAUGCUUCAAGGACUGCUGCAAGGGGAGCUUCUGGAGGAAAAUACAG